This 1137-nucleotide long non-coding RNA is filed under the name Parus major (Great Tit). Its description in RNAcentral is "lncRNA (ENSPMJG00000013461.1)". Lineage: Eukaryota; Metazoa; Chordata; Aves; Passeriformes; Paridae. The record is from RNAcentral.
GUGCCUGACAGGGCUGGCCGGGAAGAACUGCUGACCUGUCUAAAGAAAUAUAUCUGCGUCUCCCGGAAUGGCAGGACAGAUGGUGCCCGUUCGCACCGAGGCGACUUCUCUCGAUGGCACACACCGAGCGGAGCUGAUGAGCGACUGCGAAGAAGUUUAGAUCACGAGCUCAUCUGGGACUACAAGUGACCAACCUGGAUCAACUUUUAAUUAACACGCUGACCUGCCGAAGAAGCAAAACUCCCUUAAAAAAAAAAAAAAAAAAAAAAAAAAUAAAGGUGUGUAUAUAAAUACAUCGUCGUGACCCUGGAAACCCCAGGGCUCUCCUUGCCCUUUUUGUAGGGAGGAGGUGAUUUUCCAAAGGCGCGAGGAGAUGCGCAGGUUCGGCCCCCGCCCGCCUCCCCUCCCCGCUCAGGCUGCGGGGCAGCGGCGGCCCCGGGAAGGGGGGAUGCGGUCGGAGCGGGCGGGGCACUAUGACCGGAGCCCCUGAGCAGCGUGUGCGAGGAAAAGGCCGUGGCAGACAGGCGGAGGAUUUGGCUCUAUGGGAGGUGUGGUACAAGCACCAGUGGGGGGGUGGACACAAGCUCACGCGUGGGUGCUCCAAGCUCCAGAGCCUGUUCGGUAGCUCCCCCGCACGAAGCACAAAGAGAGGUUUUUUUUUCCCAUGCACGUACACACUUCAGGCAGAUUGGCUGCUGGAGACCGCCCCCACCCCCCAAAACUGGCACUGGAGUACGUUACUGCCGAGUUACACUUUAACUUCUCUGCAGGUAAUAAUUAAAGACCUUCUUUCUAAGUCUCUUUCCCCCACAGAAACACCGAGGCUCUCUUUCGCAAUAGAUUAUAUUGAUCACACAUACGGGCACACUCUCGGAGCCGCCUUCUGUGAGCUGCUCUCAAUUCCAUGCGCUCUGCACAACUUUUCCCAUAUCUUCUCCCACUUUUUUUCCCGAGCUGAAAGGUUUCUUCAGGGAUGCAUUUCUAUGAACAAUUCCAAAUCCCCCCAAGAAGAAGCUCCAUGUGCAAAAGCCAGUCAUCCAGAUGCACACCUGCAGGCUUUGCCCAUAAGUCUGAAUUUUGUCCCACACUUGCUUUGUGUGUGAGUUUAAAAAUAAGAGAUACAGAAGGAACAAAGUC